AAACGACUCUCGGCAACGGAUAUCUCGGCUCAUGCAUCGAUGAAGAACGUAGCAAAAUGCGAUACUUGGUGUGAAUUGCAGAAUCCCGUGAACCAUCGAGUUUUUGAACGCAAGUUGCGCCCGAAGCCAUCCGGUUUAGGGCACGCCUGCCUGGGCGUCACG
Molecule: ribosomal RNA, 162 nt
Filed under: Taraxacum sp. LK05/3076
Lineage: Eukaryota; Viridiplantae; Streptophyta; Magnoliopsida; Asterales; Asteraceae
Description: 5.8S ribosomal RNA
Rfam family: 5.8S ribosomal RNA
About the family: 5.8S ribosomal RNA (5.8S rRNA) is a component of the large subunit of the eukaryotic ribosome. It is transcribed by RNA polymerase I as part of the 45S precursor that also contains 18S and 28S rRNA.
Source: RNAcentral